GUGAAUUUAGUUUAAAAAAAACACCUAACUUGCAAUUAGAAAACUUAGGUUUAAACCCUAAACUACA
This 67-nucleotide transfer RNA is filed under the name Hippasteria spinosa. RNAcentral's name for it is "tRNA-Ala". It matches the Rfam family "tRNA". Rfam says of the family: Transfer RNA (tRNA) molecules are approximately 80 nucleotides in length. Their secondary structure includes four short double-helical elements and three loops (D, anti-codon, and T loops). Further hydrogen bonds mediate the characteristic L-shaped molecular structure. tRNAs have two regions of fundamental functional importance: the anti-codon, which is responsible for specific mRNA codon recognition, and the 3' end, to which the tRNAs corresponding amino acid is attached (by aminoacyl-tRNA synthetases). tRNAs cope with the degeneracy of the genetic code in two manners: having more than one tRNA (with a specific anti-codon) for a particular amino acid; and 'wobble' base-pairing, i.e. permitting non-standard base-pairing at the 3rd anti-codon position. The record is from RNAcentral. Lineage: Eukaryota; Metazoa; Echinodermata; Asteroidea; Valvatida; Goniasteridae.